GACGUAGGGCGCGAGCGUUGUCCGGAUUUAUUGGGCGUAAAGAGCUCGUAGGCGGCUUGUCGCGUCGAAUGUGAAAUCUCAGGGCUCAACUCUGACAUUGCAUUCGAUACGGGCAGGCUAGAGUUCGGUAGGGGAGACUGGAAUUCCUGGUGUAGCGGUGAAAUGCGUAGAUAUCUGGAGGAACACCGGUGGCGAAGGCGGCAUCCUGGACCAAUAUUGACGCUGAGGAGCGAAAGCCAGGGGAGCAAACGGG
This 253-nucleotide ribosomal RNA is filed under the name uncultured bacterium. RNAcentral describes it as "partial 16S ribosomal RNA". It matches the Rfam family "Bacterial small subunit ribosomal RNA", at positions 524 to 776 of the family's 1533-position model. The record is from RNAcentral.